CUACGGGUGGCUGCAGUGGGGAAUAUUGGACAAUGGGCGAAAGCCUGAUCCAGCCAUGCCGCGUGUGUGAAGAAGGCCUUCGGGUUGUAAAGCACUUUCAGUGGGGAAGAAAGCCUUGGGGCUAAUACCCUCGAGGAAGGACAUCACCCACAGAAGAAGCACCGGCUAACUCCGUGCCAGCAGCCGCGGUAAUACGGAGGGUGCGAGCGUUAAUCGGAAUUACUGGGCGUAAAGCGCGCGUAGGCGGUCUGAUAAGCCGGUUGUGAAAGCCCCGGGCUCAACCUGGGAACGGCAUCCGGAACUGUCAGGCUAGAGUGCAGGAGAGGAAGGUAGAAUUCCCGGUGUAGCGGUGAAAUGCGUAGAGAUCGGGAGGAAUACCAGUGGCGAAGGCGGCCUUCUGGACUGACACUGACGCUGAGGUGCGAAAGCGUGGGUAGCAAACAGGAUUAGAUACCCAGUAGUC
This 463-nucleotide ribosomal RNA is filed under the name Vreelandella stevensii. RNAcentral's name for it is "partial 16S ribosomal RNA". It matches the Rfam family "Bacterial small subunit ribosomal RNA", at positions 339 to 795 of the family's 1533-position model. Lineage: Bacteria; Pseudomonadati; Pseudomonadota; Gammaproteobacteria; Oceanospirillales; Halomonadaceae. The record is from RNAcentral.